RNAcentral lists this small RNA (167 nucleotides) under human gut metagenome. RNAcentral's name for it is "Bacteroidales-1 6S-Bacteroidales RNA suggested". It matches the Rfam family "Bacteroidales-1 6S-Bacteroidales RNA suggested". The record is from RNAcentral.
UUGGGAAACUCAUCAAAUUUAAAUGAAAUACCGAGAACAUCUGCCGGAGGCAAUGGCGGGCCCCCACCUCAAGGUGCAGUCUUUAUGACACAGGCGGAUUACAAAGCGCCGGCGGAACUCAAAUCCUGUCUAUCGGAGUUUCAUCACAAUAACUUUGGUGUGGUCCU